CUCUGCUGGCUUCCUACCAACAGUCAUGCUGCGUUCAUGUCAUGUUGGAUUUGCUGUAAAUGCGAGCUGCCAACUGGGGAAAAUCAUUCAUUUGUAGGAGCUGGCAUCAUAUUUCCCAGGGGAGUAAAUGAUGUCAUUUUGGAUCUCAAACUGUCUCCUCACCUCAUCUCAGCGCAAACUCACCCACCUAGGUCAAUCACCGUGUGCAAAGGAGGAGAGUUGACUCAUAGUGACCUGAAGCUGGAGGAGUGUCAAGUCAAAUCCAGACUCAUGGGCAGAUUUGAAGAAGUCCCAUUCGGAUAUUUUCAGAGCAGGGGACAUGCAUCUGAGAAACCACCUGCAACCAGGUGAACAUACUAAAGUGGUGGAAGUGAGAUCAUUGGGGUUUAGUCGGUGCUGUGACAGUGAUGAUAAAGGAGGAUUGCUGGUUCCUUCAAGUCAGCUGAAUCUAAGAAGCAACAGAGUUAAAUUGUUGCUUCUUUGUAUGGGACGAUUAAAUUAAGGGGAGACGUGCUAUGGUGGAAUAUAAAUGUUUACAUUUACGGUACUCAAGAACUGUACUUACUGUCCAAGAAUAGUUUGACAUUUUAGGAAAUGAUUCACUUUUUUGCUGACAGUUAGAUGAGAAGAUCUUUUGUGUUUUUUGUGUUUGUCUGUUAAAUACGAAGCUGUGUUUGUCUGUUAAAUUUGAAGUUGGAGCCAGAAGACAGUUAGUUCAGCUUAGCAUAAAGACUGCAAACCAGAGGAAACAGCUAUCCUGGCUCCAUUUAAAGAGCAUUCCUCCAUAACCAUGGGAAAUCCCCAUCAUGUAUACAUGUGCGUACCCUGUUCUGUUUUACAUUUCCAACGUAAACUGUUUUUAAUUAGGUUCAUUUUAUUGAGUCUUGUUGGAGUAUAAUAA
Molecule: long non-coding RNA, 901 nt
Organism: Thunnus maccoyii (southern bluefin tuna)
Lineage: Eukaryota; Metazoa; Chordata; Actinopteri; Scombriformes; Scombridae
Exons: 3
Source: RefSeq, a predicted model, not a curated record